Molecule: non-coding RNA, 238 nt
Filed under: unclassified sequences
Description: RT-7 RNA
Rfam family: RT-7 RNA
About the family: Bacteroidales. Nearby to self-splicing intron genes
Source: Rfam by way of RNAcentral
UCGAGAGUAUUGCAGGUCCAAGUGCUUGCAGUAGAGUGAUGUGUAAAUUCAGCAAUCCACUGGCGGAGUAAUGUGCGUAUAGGGAUUAUGCAUUGUGUGAUGAUUCUGCAAUGCCCUGAGUUACGUUUCCGUUAGUUGUCUAUUCCAGUCUGUAUAGGGACUUGACGGUGCAUCAUGCCUUUAUGACAAGUGUAUCUGUUGUUUUCCGGUACAUUCAUUUACAGUGAUUGCUUUUCCG